GGAACCUGCCUCAAAGAGGGGGACAACAGUUGGAAACGACUGCUAAUACCGCAUAAGCCCACGGGUCGGCAUCGACCAGAGGGAAAAGGAGCAAUCCGCUUUGAGAUGGCCUCGCGUCCGAUUAGCUAGUUGGUGAGGUAACGGCCCACCAAGGCGACGAUCGGUAGCCGGACUGAGAGGUUGAACGGCCACAUUGGGACUGAGACACGGCCCAGACUCCUACGGGAGGCAGCAGUGGGGAAUAUUGCACAAUGGGGGAAACCUUGAUGCAGCGACGCCGCGUGGAGGAAGAAGGUCUUCGGAUUGUAAACUCCUGUUGUUGAGGAAGAUAAUGACGGUACUCAACAAGGAAGUGACGGCUAACUACGUGCCAGCAGCCGCGGUAAAACGUAGGUCACAAGCGUUGUCCGGAAUUACUGGGUGUAAAGGGAGCGCAGGCGGGAAGACAAGUUGGAAGUGAAAUCUAUGGGCUCAACCCAUAAACUGCUUUCAAAACUGUUUUUCUUGAGUAGUGCAGAGGUAGGCGGAAUUCCCGGUGUAGCGGUGGAAUGCGUAGAUAUCGGGAGGAACACCAGUGGCGAAGGCGGCCUGCUGGACAUUAACUGACGCUGAGGCGCGAAAGCGUGGGGAGCAAACAGGAU
RNAcentral lists this ribosomal RNA (641 nucleotides) under uncultured bacterium. Its description in RNAcentral is "bacterial SSU rRNA". It matches the Rfam family "Bacterial small subunit ribosomal RNA", at positions 121 to 778 of the family's 1533-position model. The record is from RNAcentral.